UGGCUGCUUCAGGACCCAUUCAAAGAGCUCCUUUGUCUCCAUCAUACGAUUCUUGUUUUCAUCCUCAAAGAGUGUCUGAUCAUACCUAAAACAGACUACCAAUUCAAGGCUUUUUUCCAAUUGACAAGUGCCCUAAUGUUAUAAUUGUCAAAGUCAGAUGUUAAUAGAUAACUGCAUAUGAGUUGAGUUGUGCCCACUCCAGUGAAAUGGACCAACUUAAAUAAUGCCAGCUGCCUUGAGCCAGUGAUGGUAGCCACCCAACUAAAGAAAUAACUUUUAAUGUUGGGCAUCUAAGGUACAACAUACCCACAAGAUAAGUGUGGCAGAAAUGCGGACGUUAAAAAUGAAUGUCCGGUAACACAAUAAUGGAUAAGAUUAAGAAUGACCACAUCCGCUUGAGGGUGCAUGUACCAUAUAUUGAAGAUAAAACAAGAGAUGAUCGAGUGAGAUGGUUUGGUCAUGUCCAACGUAG
RNAcentral lists this unclassified non-coding RNA (472 nucleotides) under Hevea brasiliensis (rubber tree). Lineage: Eukaryota; Viridiplantae; Streptophyta; Magnoliopsida; Malpighiales; Euphorbiaceae. The record is from RNAcentral.